AGACUUUAAAAAUAAACAAAAAGAUUUUCACUAAUUUUUUGAGUCUCUCACACUCCUCGGGUGGAGAAACAGAAAUCCUAACAUGAUAAUAGGUUCUAGUGGGUGCUGCGGUCCCAUUGAUAUACGACACCUCAUCUAACAGUUAUUGGUGAUAUAUAUAUCAAUGCAUCGAUAACUCUUUGUCUAGAUGCUUCUUUAAGUAUGUUACAGCGACUUGAUCUCUAAGUCCUGUGGCCUCACCU
This 242-nucleotide long non-coding RNA is filed under the name Elaeis guineensis (African oil palm). RNAcentral describes it as "long non-coding RNA (EGUI_LNC065779)". The record is from RNAcentral. Lineage: Eukaryota; Viridiplantae; Streptophyta; Magnoliopsida; Arecales; Arecaceae.